AGUGAACGCUGGCGGUAGGCCUAAUACAUGCAAGUCGAACGGCAGCACAGUAAGAGCUUGCUCUUACGGGUGGCGAGUGGCGGACGGGUGAGGAAUACAUCGGAAUCUACUUUUUCGUGGGGGAUUACGUAGGGACACUUACGCUAAUACCGCAUAUGUUCUACGGGUGAAAUCAGUGGAUCUUCGCACCUUUCCCGUUUGAUUGAGCCGAUGUCGGAUUAGCUAGUUGGCGGGGUAAAGGCCCACCAAGGCGACGAUCCGUAGCUUGUCUGAGAGGAUGAUCGGCCACACUGGAAUUGAGACAGGAUCCAGACACCAACGGGGGGCAGCAGUGGGGAAUAUUGGAAAAUGGGGGGAAGCCUGAUCCAGCCCUACCACGUGGAUGAAGAAGGCUUCGGGUUGUAAAGCCCUUUUGUUGGGAAAGAAAAGCAGCAGGUUAAUACCCCGCUGUUCUGACGGUACCCGAAGAAUAAGCACCGGCUAACUUCGUG
Molecule: ribosomal RNA, 491 nt
Filed under: uncultured bacterium
Lineage: Bacteria
Description: partial 16S ribosomal RNA
Rfam family: Bacterial small subunit ribosomal RNA
Source: RNAcentral